Molecule: ribosomal RNA, 451 nt
Filed under: uncultured bacterium
Lineage: Bacteria
Description: bacterial SSU rRNA
Rfam family: Bacterial small subunit ribosomal RNA
Source: RNAcentral
AGCGAACGCUGGCGGCAGGCCUAACACAUGCAAGUCGAGCGGCCGUAGCAAUACGGCAGCGGCAGACGGGAUAGUAACACGUGGGAACGCGCCCUUCGGUUCGGAAUAACUCAGGGAAACUUGAGCUAAUACCGGAUACGCCCUUACGGGGAAAGAUUUAUUGCCGAAGGAACGGCCCGCGUCGGAUUAGCUAGUUGGUGAGGUAAUGGCUCACCAAGGCGACGAUCCGUAGCUGGUCUGAGAGGAUGACCAGCAUCACUGGGACUGAGACACGGCCCAGACUCCUACGGGAGGCAGCAGUGGGGAAUAUUGGACAAUGGGCGCAAGCCUGAUCCAGCCAUGCCGCGUGGAUGAUGAAGGCCCUAGGGUUGUAAAGUCCUUUUAACGGGAAGAUAAUGACGGUACCCGUAGAAUAAGCCCCGGCUAACUUCGUGCCAGCAGCCGCAGUAAG